Molecule: long non-coding RNA, 1083 nt
Filed under: Bos indicus x Bos taurus (hybrid cattle)
Lineage: Eukaryota; Metazoa; Chordata; Mammalia; Artiodactyla; Bovidae
Description: lncRNA (ENSBIXG00005031412.1)
Source: RNAcentral
AUGUUCAGCAAAUGGAGGCACAGAGAUUUACAUUCUUUGCGGAAGGUGACACAAUUGGCAACUGGGCCUCGGCUGCAAAUCCAGGAGUCUGGCGCCAAUGUCUGGGCCCCUGACUCCUCACUGCAUCACGAUAAAACAAGCCCGGGGGCCCACCCCCGUGCUGAACCGCAGGCAGGCAGCUCGGCAGCCUGUAGUCUCUUGGUCAGUCUCCACGGCUGGCCAGCGCCACAGCCACCGUGCAUUGUCUCCGAGAGGCUGCUUGAAUGUGGCGCAUCAGUGCACCUUCUUAGACCUGUUUUGCUAACUGUGCUUUUCUGUGCCCGUUUGAAUUUAGGAAAAAAUCCCGAAUUUCUCGAUUGUUCCAAGGAGAGGAAGAAUGGAAGAAACAGCAGCUUUCACCUUGGAGCAGGGCCUGAGAGCUGUAGCGUGUCUCCCAGGCCAGCGCUGCCACUGGGACUCUGGGACCAAACAAAAAGAAGAACGAAAGCAGAAUCAAGAUUCAGAUUCAUGUAGACCAGUGGUCGUAACAGGUAUAUGUUGAUGCCUCCGUGAAAAAGAAGAGACAGGAAAAAUCAAAGAAGUGACAUAAAGUUCUUUUCUUGAAAAAUAACAAGAAAAAAGGCAAAACCAAUGGUACAUUUCUGUAAGAUACAUUUCGGGAAGAAGGAAAAUGAUCUCAUGAGAAAUGUCUGUGAGAAGAAAUCAUGCAAGAAGAAAUGCAGCACAAAGAAAGUAGUUAAAAUGAGUGAAAAUGUAAACACCAUAGACUCUAUUGAUCAUGUCCAGUUUUUAAUGUUUAAAGAAAACAAAUGAAACCUACAUUUUGUGGAAGACCAAGCAAGCUGGGAACGGAAUGAGCAGAUUUAAAACAUUGUAAAGCUCUUUAAUGAUUUGGAAGAAAGAUAACAUGCUAAUAUACUCUGAACUGUUUUCAUUUACAUGUCUAUAAUGAUUUAAAGAAUACCAAUUCAAAAGUAUAGAAAUUAACUGUAAAACUUCAUGGAAAAGUAAAAUGAGAAGUUAAAAACAAACAAAGGCCUCUACUAGUCUGAAAAGAGGAAAAUAAAUUAAAUAAAAAAAACA